ACAGCUGCCUGACAUUCCCUAUUCAGCUUAGGGGAGCAAUGAGUUAAGACCAAAAUAAAGCAAGACAAAGGCUCCUUAUGUUACUGUGUAGCUGGCGUUGGUCUUCAAACUACCUGGCGAUGCAGUUCUCCCAGGAGAUGACUUUAAAGGACUCAGACCACAAAUAUUUAAUGACAAAUAGACUUGGUUGACAAGAUAAAGUCCUACAAGGAUGGGUCAUUCACAAAUGCACUGGUAUUCUUAAAAGCAGAUCAGAAAAAAUGGAUGCAGCAGUGAAUUUGCCUGGAAAGGGAGCCUGGAGUAACCUGACUUUCUUUAAAGUUAGGUUUAAGAUAUAAUUUACAUAAGUAAAAUUUUUAUUGCAUAGUUGGUUGAAUUUUUACAAAUACAUUCAGUCAUGUAACCACCAUCACAAUGAAGUGUGCUCAGCUCCCUGAUAAGGCUUGUUGGCAGGUGAAUCCUGAUGCGCCUCCACCUACCUUCUCAUCACUGUUGUUUCCUGCGACUUCCAGCGCUGUUUAUUGCAUCUUUAAUCUGCUGAUCCUCA
Gorilla gorilla gorilla (western lowland gorilla) is the source of this 547-nucleotide long non-coding RNA. RefSeq lists it as uncharacterized. NCBI's taxonomy places the organism in Eukaryota, Metazoa, Chordata, Mammalia, Primates, Hominidae. The transcript is spliced from 3 exons. The record is from RefSeq and is a predicted model, not a curated record.